GUUCUUGUGAUUUCUAGUUUCAUUGUGGGUUUUUUUGGUCUUGUUCAUGGAUCUGCUGAAGACAAACUUGUUGAAGUUAUUGCUUCUAAAAGAGGUGAAACUGCUACAAAUUAUGGAAGGAGAAAUCCAUACUCCAUGCAGUAGGAUUCUUUCAUUAUGGAAUAAUUUCUGCAACCACAGUGGACUGUAUAUGAAGUGGAUGCACAGACCUAUAUCUCUGCCAAAUGCACGUAUUUCAGUGUUGGACUGGAUCACAUCUGGUUGUUUUUUGUUGUUGUUGUUUGUUUUGUUUUACCCUUUCAAAAGUUAAAUUUGAUCUUCUAGAAUUGAGAACUAAAAAGGAAACCAACCCGAUUCACAGAAAAAGUAACUGCAGCAUGUUAUACAUAAGUAUAUUUCAUAGUAACCCAGGAAUGUUUGGAUAAAAAGCUCUUGCACAGUGAAAAGAUUUUGCACUGUUUUUCUAAGGUCUGUAAGUUAAACUCACUGUGAAUUUUUAUGAUGUCAGUGCAAUACUUUUAUUUGUAAGGGUGCUUUUAAAAUACCUGUGUAAAACUACUGGUGCAAAGUUAUGAAUACUGAAGUUGUUUCUAGUGUAAAUACGCAAUUUACAGUGACUCCUAUGAAGUUUCAUCAUUAUUUGGGAAUA
Molecule: long non-coding RNA, 649 nt
Filed under: Gallus gallus (chicken)
Lineage: Eukaryota; Metazoa; Chordata; Aves; Galliformes; Phasianidae
Description: long non-coding RNA NONGGAT002502
Source: RNAcentral